CCUACGGGAGGCAGCAGUGAGGAAUAUUGGUCAAUGGACGAGAGUCUGAACCAGCCAAGUAGCGUGAAGGAUGACUGCCCUAUGGGUUGUAAACUUCUUUUAUAUGGGAAUAAAAUGUUCCACGUGUGGGAUUUUGUAUGUACCAUAUGAAUAAGGAUCGGCUAACUCCGUGCCAGCAGCCGCGGUAAUACGGAGGAUCCGAGCGUUAUCCGGAUUUAUUGGGUUUAAAGGGAGCGUAGGUGGAUUGUUAAGUCAGUUGCGAAAGUUUGCGGCUCAACCGUAAAAUUGCAGUUGAAACUGGCAGUCUUGAGUACAGUAGAGGUGGGCGGAAUUCGUGGUGUAGCGGUGAAAUGCUUAGAUAUCACGAAGAACUCCGAUUGCAAAGGCAGCUCACUGGACUGCAACUGACACUGAGGCUCGAAAGUGUGGGUAUCAAACAGGAUUAGAUACCCCUGUAGUC
RNAcentral lists this ribosomal RNA (460 nucleotides) under uncultured bacterium. Its description in RNAcentral is "partial 16S ribosomal RNA". It matches the Rfam family "Bacterial small subunit ribosomal RNA", at positions 338 to 795 of the family's 1533-position model. The record is from RNAcentral.